CCUACGGGGGGCUGCAGUGGGGAAUAUUGGACAAUGGGGGCAACCCUGAUCCAGCCAUGCCGCGUGUGUGAAGAAGGCCCUCGGGUUGUAAAGCACUUUCAGUGAGGAAGAACGCCUGGUGGUUAAUACCCAUCAGGAAAGACAUCACUCACAGAAGAAGCACCGGCUAACUCCGUGCCAGCAGCCGCGGUAAUACGGAGGGUGCGAGCGUUAAUCGGAAUUACUGAGCGUAAAGCGCGCGUAGGUGGCUUGAUAAGCCGGUUGUGAAAGCCCCGGGCUCAACCUGGGAACGGCAUCCGGAACUGUCAAGCUAGAGUGCAGGAGAGGAAGGUAGAAUUCCCGGUGUAGCGGUGAAAUGCGUAGAGAUCGGGAGGAAUACCAGUGGCGAAGGCGGCCUUCUGGACUGACACUGACACUGAGGUGCGAAAGCGUGGGUAGCAAACAGGAUUAGAUACCCGGGUAGUC
This 465-nucleotide ribosomal RNA is filed under the name Vreelandella stevensii. RNAcentral describes it as "partial 16S ribosomal RNA". It matches the Rfam family "Bacterial small subunit ribosomal RNA", at positions 338 to 795 of the family's 1533-position model. Lineage: Bacteria; Pseudomonadati; Pseudomonadota; Gammaproteobacteria; Oceanospirillales; Halomonadaceae. The record is from RNAcentral.